GACGAACGCUGGCGGCGUGCUUAACACAUGCAAGUUGAACGGGGAUAUUGAUUUCGGUUGAUAUCCUAGUAGCGGACGGGUGAGUAACGCGUGAGCAACCAACCUUUGUGAGGGGGACAACAGCUGGAAACGGCUGCUAAUACCGCAUGAGACCACGGUUUCGCAUGGAACUGAGGUAAAAGAUUUAUCGCACAAAGACGGGCUCGCGUCCCAUUAGCUAGUUGGUGAGGUAACGGCUCACCAAGGCAACGAUGGGUAGCCGACCUGAGAGGGUGAUCGGCCACACUGGAACUGAGACACGGUCCAGACUCCUACGGGAGGCAGCAGUGGGGAAUAUUGGGCAAUGGGCGCAAGCCUGACCCAGCAACGCCGCGUGAGGGAAGAAGGUCUUCGGAUUGUAAACCUCUGUCCUUGGGGACGAAAAAAAUGACGGUACCCAAGGAGGAAGCUCCGGCUAACUACGUG
This 465-nucleotide ribosomal RNA is filed under the name uncultured organism. Its description in RNAcentral is "bacterial SSU rRNA". It matches the Rfam family "Bacterial small subunit ribosomal RNA", at positions 28 to 507 of the family's 1533-position model. The record is from RNAcentral.